This 559-nucleotide long non-coding RNA is filed under the name Homo sapiens (human). Its description in RNAcentral is "HSALNT0139483". The record is from RNAcentral. Lineage: Eukaryota; Metazoa; Chordata; Mammalia; Primates; Hominidae.
CUUCUCUCUUAACGGUGUAUUUUGAUGCAAACCUAUUAAUGCAGCCCAAUUUGUCAGUCUUUCUUUAGGGUCAGUGCUUUUUUGUAUCCUGUUUUUUGUACCCUGUCUUUGCCUACCAAGGACAGGAAGAUAUGCUAUCUUCUAGAAGCUUUCUUUCACCUUUUAUUUUUAGUUUGAACUAUUAACUUUAAUAAUGUAAAUAUCAUGGCCUGGCUCGGUGGCUCACAUCUGUAAUCCCAGCACUUUGGGAGGCCAAGGGGCCUGGAAAACAUAGGAAGAUCCCAUCUUUACAAAAAUAAAAUUAAAACAUUAGUAGGGCAUGGUGGCAUGAACUUAUAGUCCCAGCUACUCAGGAGACUGAAAGAGGAGGAUCACUUGAGCCCAGGAAUUUAAGGAUACAGUGAGCUAUGACUGCACCACAGCACAGUCAGAGACAGACCCUGGGCAACAGAGCGAGACCCUGAAUCUAAAAAUAAUAAUAAUGAUAAUGGUAAUAAUAAUAAAAAUAUCAAUUUAAAGUUUUAUUCAUGAUCGUCUUAUUAAAAUAAAUUUAAUUGCA